CUGGUGGUCCAGUACCUCCAAAGAUAUGGAAUACACUCCUGAAAUAUCCUGAAACCUUUUUUUUUUCAGAAUCCUUUAAUAAGCAGUUAUGUCAAUCUGAAAGUUGCUUACUUGUACUUUAUAUUAAUAGCUAUUCUUGUUUUUCUUAUCCAAAGAAAAAUCCUCUAAUCCCCUUUUCACAUGAUAGUUGUUACCAUGUUUAGGCAUUAGUCACAUCAACCCCUCUCCUCUCCCAAAUUUCUCUUCUUCAAAUCAAACUUUAUUAGUCCCUCCUUUAUAAUGAUUCCUUGCCUCCUUUUAUCCAGAUCAAUUUUUUUUCACUUUGAUGCCCAGAGCUGAAGAAAUGGACUAUUGUAUAAAUUAUUCAUUGCCAAGAGAAUAAUUGCAUUUUAAACCCAUAUUAUAACAAAGAAUAAUGAUUAUAUUUUGUGAUUUGUAACAAAUACCCUUUAUUUUCCCUUAACUAUUGAAUUAAAUAUUUUAAUUAUUUGUAUUCUCUUUAACUAUCUUGGUAUAUUAAAGUAUUAUCUUUUAUAUAUUUAUCAAUGGUGGACACUUUUAUAGGUACUCUGUGUCAUUUUUGAUACUGUAGGUAUCUUAUUUCAUUUAUCUUUAUUCUUAAUGUACGAAUUCAUAAUAUUUGAUUCAGAACAAAUUUAUCACUAACAGAGUAUCAAUUAUGCUAACAUCUCAUUUACUGAUUUUAAUUUAAAACAGUUUUUGUUAACAUGCAUGUUUAGGGUUGGCUUCUUAAUAAUUUCUUCUUCCUCUUCUCUCUCUCCUCUUCUUUUGGUCAGUGUUGUGCGGGUUAAUACAACAAACUGUAACAAGUGUACCUGGUAUGGACUUGUUGUCCGGGACGUACAUUUUCGCGGUCCUGCUAGCAUGCGUGGUGUUCCACUCUGGCGCCCAGGAGAAAAACUACACCAUCCGAGAAGAAAUGCCAGAAAACGUCCUGAUAGGCGACUUGUUGAAAGACCUUAACUUGUCGCUGAUUCCAAACAAGUCCUUGACAACUGCUAUGCAGUUCAAGCUAGUGUACAAGACCGGAGAUGUGCCACUGAUUCGAAUUGAAGAGGAUACUGGUGAGAUCUUCACUACUGGCGCUCGCAUUGAUCGUGAGAAAUUAUGUGCUGGUAUCCCAAGGGAUGAGCAUUGCUUUUAUGAAGUGGAGGUUGCCAUUUUGCCGGAUGAAAUAUUUAGACUGGUUAAGAUACGUUUUCUGAUAGAAGAUAUAAAUGAUAAUGCACCAUUGUUCCCAGCAACAGUUAUCAACAUAUCAAUUCCAGAGAACUCGGCUAUAAACUCUAAAUAUACUCUCCCAGCGGCUGUUGAUCCUGACGUAGGAACAAACGGAGUUCAAAACUACGAACUAAUUAAGAGUCAAAACAUUUUUGGCCUCGAUGUCAUUGAAACACCAGAAGGAGACAAGAUGCCACAACUGAUUGUUCAAAAGGAGUUAGAUAGGGAAGAGAAGGAUACCUACGUGAUGAAAGUAAAGGUUGAAGAUGGUGGCUUUCCUCAAAGAUCCAGUACUGCUAUUUUGCAAGUAAGUGUUACUGAUACAAAUGACAACCACCCAGUCUUUAAGGAGACAGAGAUUGAAGUCAGUAUACCAGAAAAUGCUCCUGUAGGCACUUCAGUGACACAGCUCCAUGCCACAGAUGCUGACAUAGGUGAAAAUGCCAAGAUCCACUUCUCUUUCAGCAAUCUAGUCUCCAACAUUGCCAGGAGAUUAUUUCACCUCAAUGCCACCACUGGACUUAUCACAAUCAAAGAACCACUGGAUAGGGAAGAAACACCAAACCACAAGUUACUGGUUUUGGCAAGUGAUGGUGGAUUGAUGCCAGCAAGAGCAAUGGUGCUGGUAAAUGUUACAGAUGUUAAUGAUAAUGUCCCAUCCAUUGACAUAAGAUACAUCGUCAAUCCUGUCAAUGACACAGUUGUUCUUUCAGAAAAUAUUCCACUCAACACCAAAAUUGCUCUCAUAACUGUGACGGAUAAGGAUGCGGACCAUAAUGGCAGGGUGACAUGCUUCACAGAUCAUGAAAUCCCUUUCAGAUUAAGGCCAGUAUUCAGUAAUCAGUUCCUCCUGGAGACUGCAGCAUAUCUUGACUAUGAGUCCACAAAAGAAUAUGCCAUUAAAUUACUGGCUGCAGAUGCUGGCAAACCUCCUUUGAAUCAGUCAGCAAUGCUCUUCAUCAAAGUGAAAGAUGAAAAUGACAAUGCUCCAGUUUUCACCCAGUCUUUCGUAACUGUUUCUAUUCCUGAGAAUAACUCUCCUGGCAUCCAGUUGACGAAAGUAAGUGCAACGGAUGCAGACAGUGGGCCUAAUGCUGAGAUCAAUUACCUGCUAGGCCCUGAUGCUCCACCUGAAUUCAGCCUGGAUCGUCGUACAGGCAUGCUGACUGUAGUGAAGAAACUAGAUAGAGAAAAAGAGGAUAAAUAUUUAUUCACAAUUCUGGCAAAAGAUAACGGGGUACCACCCUUAACCAGCAAUGUCACAGUCUUUGUAAGCAUUAUUGAUCAGAAUGACAAUAGCCCAGUUUUCACUCACAAUGAAUACAACUUCUAUGUCCCAGAAAACCUUCCAAGGCAUGGUACAGUAGGACUAAUCACUGUAACUGAUCCUGAUUAUGGAGACAAUUCUGCAGUUACGCUCUCCAUUUUAGAUGAGAAUGAUGACUUCACCAUUGAUUCACAAACUGGUGUCAUCCGACCAAAUAUUUCAUUUGAUAGAGAAAAACAAGAAUCUUACACUUUCUAUGUAAAGGCUGAGGAUGGUGGUAGAGUAUCACGUUCUUCAAGUGCCAAAGUAACCAUAAAUGUGGUUGAUGUCAAUGACAACAAACCAGUUUUCAUUGUCCCUCCUUCCAACUAUUCUUAUGAAUUGGUUCUACCGUCCACUAAUCCAGGCACAGUGGUCUUUCAGGUAAUGGCUGUUGACAAUGACACUGGCAUGAAUGCAGAGGUUCGUUACAGCAUUGUAGGAGGAAACACAAGAGAUCUGUUUGCAAUCGACCAAGAAACAGGCAACAUAACAUUGAUGGAGAAAUGUGAUGUUACAGACCUUGGUUUACACAGAGUGUUGGUCAAAGCUAAUGACUUAGGACAGCCUGAUUCUCUCUUCAGUGUUGUAAUUGUCAAUCUGUUCGUGAAUGAGUCGGUGACCAAUGCUACACUGAUUAAUGAACUGGUGCGCAAAAGCACUGAAGCACCAGUGACCCCAAAUACUGAGAUAGCUGAUGUAUCCUCACCAACUAGUGACUAUGUCAAGAUCCUGGUUGCAGCUGUUGCUGGCACCAUAACUGUCGUUGUAGUUAUUUUCAUCACUGCUGUAGUAAGAUGUCGCCAGGCACCACACCUUAAGGCUGCUCAGAAAAACAAGCAGAAUUCUGAAUGGGCUACCCCAAACCCAGAAAACAGGCAGAUGAUAAUGAUGAAGAAAAGGAAAAAGAAGAAGAAGCAUUCCCCUAAGAACCUGCUGCUUAAUUUUGUCACUAUUGAAGAAACUAAGGCAGAUGAUGUUGACAGUGAUGGAAACAGAGUCACACUAGACCUUCCUAUUGAUCUAGAAGAGCAAACAAUGGGAAAGUACAAUUGGGUAACUACACCUACUACUUUCAAGCCCGACAGCCCUGAUUUGGCCCGACACUACAAAUCUGCCUCUCCACAGCCUGCCUUCCAAAUUCAGCCUGAAACUCCCCUGAAUUCGAAGCACCACAUCAUCCAAGAACUGCCUCUCGAUAACACCUUUGUGGCCUGUGACUCUAUCUCCAAGUGUUCCUCAAGCAGUUCAGAUCCCUACAGCGUUUCUGACUGUGGCUAUCCAGUGACGACCUUCGAGGUACCUGUGUCCGUACACACCAGACCGGUAGGUAUCCAAGUUUCUAACACAACUUUCUAACUAUUUUUUUAUUAUUAUUUUCAGUUGAUGUAGAACUUUACAAAAUCUAUUGACUUCAAAGAGGGAUCAAAACAAUCAUAUUCUACAGAUGUACCCAAUAGAUAUAUGGAUCCAAUUAAGUUUGGUAGAAGAUGAGAACAAAAUAACUACUGAUUUAGGAAAAUUGGAUGCAGAAUAAUAAUUAUAGUAGGGGCAAUUUUGUCUGUAGAUGGCAGUAUGACAAUUCUUGCUAGAGAAUAUAUUGAAAAAAACUUCAACACAAAGGGUUGUAGCACUGUCCUCAGUACCAUUGUGUGCAUGAAGAUCAGAAUAGUCUGGGCUAGAUACAUCACAUUAAAGCUUUUCAGAAUCUGAUACAUAGUUCUAAAUACUAAUGAUAUUGAGAAGCCUAGCUUCACUUGGGAAAAUCUGUGGCUGUUCACAGAAAUUCAGCACCAAGAUAUUCCCCCCAUACUCUACCAGGCCUUCAGGUCCUCAUAAAGAAAAGUGUCGUUUUCAGAUUAGGAACUCAAAAUUAUUUUGGUGCAUCAAAUCUACAGUCACACAAUAUAACAAGAAUGGGAUUAGAAAAAUGAAAGCCUACUCAUUCUCAUCUUUAAGCCAGAGAAUGAAAUAUAUAUGAGGUCUCUACUUUAGAUAGCUAUUUAAAUAUUUGCAUAUUUAUGCAAGGUAUUUUGAGCCCUUCAGAAGACAUUCU
Molecule: small RNA, 4604 nt
Filed under: Pan troglodytes (chimpanzee)
Lineage: Eukaryota; Metazoa; Chordata; Mammalia; Primates; Hominidae
Description: retained intron
Source: RNAcentral